AACGAACGCUGGCGGCAGGCCUAACACAUGCAAGUCGAACGAGAAGCCACCUUCGGGUGGUGGAAAGUGGCAGACGGGUGAGUAACACGUGGGAACGUGCCCUUUGGUUCGGAACAACUCUGGGAAACUGGAGCUAGUACCGGAUAAGCCCUACGGGGGAAAGAUUUAUCGCCGAAGGAUCGGCCCGCGUCUGAUUAGCUUGUUGGUGAGGUAAUGGCUCACCAAGGCGACGAUCAGUAGCUGGUCUGAGAGGAUGAUCGGCCACACUGGGACUGAGACACGGCCCAGACUCCUACGGGAGGCAGCAGUGGGGAAUAUUGGACAAUGGGCGCAAGCCUGAUCCAGCCAUGCCGCGUGAGUGAUGACGGCCUUAGGGUUGUAAAGCUCUUUCGCCAGGGACGAUAAUGACGGUACCUGGAUAAGAAGCCCCGGCUAACUUCGUGCCAGCCGCCGCCGUAA
This 459-nucleotide ribosomal RNA is filed under the name uncultured bacterium. RNAcentral's name for it is "partial 16S ribosomal RNA". It matches the Rfam family "Bacterial small subunit ribosomal RNA", at positions 29 to 523 of the family's 1533-position model. The record is from RNAcentral.